RNAcentral lists this ribosomal RNA (1027 nucleotides) under Salmonella enterica. RNAcentral describes it as "partial 23S ribosomal RNA". It matches the Rfam family "Bacterial large subunit ribosomal RNA", at positions 161 to 1229 of the family's 2925-position model. Lineage: Bacteria; Pseudomonadati; Pseudomonadota; Gammaproteobacteria; Enterobacterales; Enterobacteriaceae. The record is from RNAcentral. RNAcentral also lists the same sequence under 1 other name.
AAUCCAUAGGUUAAUGAGGCGAACCGGGGGAACUGAAACAUCUAAGUACCCCGAGGAAAAGAAAUCAACCGAGAUUCCCCCAGUAGCGGCGAGCGAACGGGGAGGAGCCCAGAGCCUGAAUCAGCAUGUGUGUUAGUGGAAGCGUCUGGAAAGGCGCGCGAUACAGGGUGACAGCCCCGUACACAAAAGCGCAUGUGCUGUGAGCUCGAUGAGUAGGGCGGGACACGUGGUAUCCUGUCUGAAUAUGGGGGGACCAUCCUCCAAGGCUAAAUACUCCUGACUGACCGAUAGUGAACCAGUACCGUGAGGGAAAGGCGAAAAGAACCCCGGCGAGGGGAGUGAAAAAGAACCUGAAACCGUGUACGUACAAGCAGUGGGAGCACCCUUUGGGUGUGACUGCGUACCUUUUGUAUAAUGGGUCAGCGACUUAUAUUCUGUAGCAAGGUUAACCGAAUAGGGGAGCCGGAGGGAAACCGAGUCUUAACCGGGCGUUAAGUUGCAGGGUAUAGACCCGAAACCCGGUGAUCUAGCCAUGGGCAGGUUGAAGGUUGGGUAACACUAACUGGAGGACCGAACCGACUAAUGUUGAAAAAUUAGCGGAUGACCUGUGGCUGGGGGUGAAAGGCCAAUCAAACCGGGAGAUAGCUGGUUCUCCCCGAAAGCUAUUUAGGUAGCGCCUCGUGAAUUCAUCUCCGGGGGUAGAGCACUGUUUCGGCUAGGGGGCCAUCCCGGCUUACCAACCCGAUGCAAACUGCGAAUACCGGAGAAUGUUAUCACGGGAGACACACGGCGGGUGCUAACGUCCGUCGUGAAGAGGGAAACAACCCAGACCGCCAGCUAAGGUCCCAAAGUCAUGGUUAAGUGGGAAACGAUGUGGGAAGGCCCAGACAGCCAGGAUGUUGGCUUAGAAGCAGCCAUCAUUUAAAGAAAGCGUAAUAGCUCACUGGUCGAGUCGGCCUGCGCGGAAGAUGUAACGGGGCUAAACCAUGCACCGAAGCUGCGGCAGCGACACUGUGUGUUGUUGGGU